Molecule: non-coding RNA, 1299 nt
Organism: Vicugna pacos (alpaca)
Lineage: Eukaryota; Metazoa; Chordata; Mammalia; Artiodactyla; Camelidae
Source: RefSeq, a predicted model, not a curated record
UCUGGGGACAUGUCUGUGAAUGUUAAGUUCAAUUUUAGGGUCAAUACAUUUUGAUUGAAUUGAGCAAUUGUCAGCCAGAAAUUAUACCAUUCAUUUAUUCACAAUGGCACUAUAAAACUUCUUAUUAAAAAAAAACUUUUGGCUGAAGUAUUUCUCUGAACCCAAGAAAAAAGGCAAGGACUUCUGCAUUUCUUCUGUCAGUAAUUAGAUUCUGAGAGCAAGCUGCUAUGUGAUGUGUUAUUAAUAUGAGAGGUUCUCAUUGGGGAGGACAGGAACUGUCAGUCCUCACUGGCUGGAAGCUUACAGAAAAGUUUGCGCUCUUCAUCAAAGGCACUGGGUGGCGACCAACUAAAUAUGGCUCAGACCGAGCUUCUCCCAGUGUCCUGAGGGGUCUCCAACUCUUAGUCUCUUUUGUCACCUCCUCGAAUAAUUCCUCUUCUCUGUUUCUGGGAAAACGAAUAGGACCGAGGGAUGCUGGGCCCCGCUUUCUAGAGCUGGCAGUGCCUUGCCAUGUAUGUGAUGUAGGGCUAUACUGUUUAGAAGCAGGACACACGGGACAUUUCCUCAGUGUAGCCCCAUGGACACAGCCGGCUGAGGUUCAUUUCUGCAUCCGUUAUCAGCAACUGAAAGCAUUUACUAAGAUCGCUCUGUGAAUGCUUCAUUGUGACACUGGACACAAAGAAGGGAACAGAUGUGGCGGGCCAACCUCCAGGGGUUUGUCAUCCAAGGCAGAAGGAUAGACAGGGCAAACACAGAUGAGCGCUCAGGCAUGACCUGUGAGCCAGGACGCAGGUAUGACAGUUGGGAGUGACACAGCCCUGGAACCAAGGUGAGUUCCCCUCUGUACAUAAGGAUAUUUCUUUUAACCACAGGGUUCUCUCUAGGGCUCCUUUGAGCAGCCGGCUCUCUGUGCAUUUCUAAUAUGAUCUGAUUUAAAAAAACGUCUUGAAAACAACUUCUGCAGGAGCAUACUGACUGCGUACAGCUUGUGACAUUGGCACAGAGAUGAAGUCAAUAUCGAGCAGAAAGAGUCACCUCAUUGUCCAAGACGGCUGCUGGAGCAAUAUCACAUCUGCAUUCCAGGCUGGCAGCAGGAGGAAGCAGCAUGGGAAGAAAGGGCUCAGUUUCCAGAGCCAUCACGUGGUCUGAAGCCACUGUCCGUGGAAGGAUCAACGACCUUGCUGGCAGAGGAGAAUAAACCCUGGAAUAAAGCAGCUGGAGCUGCGAGCCAUCCGCCUUCAGCUAUUCCACAUUUUGUCGAAAAUCAUCAGCAUAGCUGGAAAAUAGCAGUGGCCAGCA